GUCGAGCGGGCACUUUCGGGUGUCAGCGGCGGACGGGUGAGUAACGCGUGGGAACGUGCCCCUUGGUACGGAAUAGCACCGGGAAACUGGUGGUAAUACCGUAUGUGGUCGAGAGGCGAAAGAUUUAUCGCCAAGGGAUCGGCCCGCGUUGGAUUAGGUAGUUGGUGGGGUAAUGGCCUACCAAGCCGACGAUCUAUAGCUGGUUUGAGAGGAUGAUCAGCCACACUGGGACUGAGACACGGCCCAGACUCCUACGGGAGGCAGCAGUGGGGAAUCUUAGACAAUGGGGGCAACCCUGAUCUAGCCAUGCCGCGUGAGUGAUGAAGGCCUUCGGGUUGUAAAGCUCUUUCAGGGGGGAAGAUAAUGACGGUACCCCCAGAAGAAGCCCCGGCUAACUCCGUGCCAGCAG
This 409-nucleotide ribosomal RNA is filed under the name uncultured Paracoccaceae bacterium. Its description in RNAcentral is "bacterial SSU rRNA". It matches the Rfam family "Bacterial small subunit ribosomal RNA", at positions 61 to 514 of the family's 1533-position model. The record is from RNAcentral. Lineage: Bacteria; Pseudomonadati; Pseudomonadota; Alphaproteobacteria; Rhodobacterales; Paracoccaceae.